Molecule: ribosomal RNA, 208 nt
Filed under: uncultured bacterium
Lineage: Bacteria
Description: partial 16S ribosomal RNA
Rfam family: Bacterial small subunit ribosomal RNA
Source: RNAcentral
CUCGUAGGCGGUUCGUCGCGUCCGGUGUGAAAGUCCAUCGCUUAACGGUGGAUCCGCGCCGGGUACGGGCGGGCUUGAGUGCGGUAGGGGAGACUGGAAUUCCCGGUGUAACGGUGGAAUGUGUAGAUAUCGGGAAGAACACCAAUGGCGAAGGCAGGGUCUCUGGGCCGUCACUGACGCUGAGGAGCGAAAGCGUGGGGAGCGAACA